GAUGAACGCUGGCGGCGUGCCUAAUACAUGCAAGUCGAGCGAACAGAUGAGGAGCUUGCUCCUCUGACGUUAGCGGCGGACGGGUGAGUAACACGUGGAUAACCUACCUAUAAGACUGGGAUAACUUCGGGAAACCGGAGCUAAUACCGGAUAAUAUAUUGAACCGCAGGGUUCAAUAGUGAGAGACGGCUUUGCUGUCACUUAUAGAUGGAUCCGCGCCGCAUUGGCGAGUUGGUAAGGUACCGGCGUACCAAGGCAACGAUGCGUAGCCGACCUGAGGGGGGGAUGCGCCACAGGGGAGCUGAGACACGGUCCAGGCUCCUACGGGAGGCAGCAGUAGGGAAUCUUGCGCAAUGGGCGAAAGCCUGACGGAGCAACGCCGCGUGAGUGAUGAAGGGCUUCGGAUCGUAAAACGGUGUUAUAGGGAAGAACAAAUGUGUAAGUAACUAUGCACGUCUUGACGGUACCUAAUCAGAAAGCCACGGCUAACUACGUG
RNAcentral lists this ribosomal RNA (496 nucleotides) under uncultured bacterium. RNAcentral's name for it is "partial 16S ribosomal RNA". It matches the Rfam family "Bacterial small subunit ribosomal RNA", at positions 28 to 507 of the family's 1533-position model. The record is from RNAcentral.